GAUGAACGCUAGCAGAACGCCUAACACAUGCAAGUCGAACGAGAUCCAUGCUUCGGUAUGGUGAAAGUGGCAAACGGGCGAGUAACGCGUAUCUAUCUGCCCCAGAGUAGAUGACAACUAUGGAGACAUAGCUAAUCAUCUAUACGCCCCUUCGGGGGGAAAGAUUUAUCGCUCCGGGAGGAAGAUGCGUCCUAUCAGGUAGUUGGUGGGGUAAAGGCCUACCAAGCCUAUGACGGGUAGCCGGUCUGAGAGGAUGUCCGGCCGCAAUGGAACUGAGACACGGUCCAUACUCCUACGGGAGGCAGCAGUGGGGAAUCUUGGACAAUGGGGGAAACCCUGAUCCAGCGAUUCUGCGUGGAGGAUGAAGCCUUAUGGGGUGUAAACUCCUUUUCUGGGGGAAGACGAAUGACGGUACCUCAGGAAUAAGGGACGGCUAACUACG
This 442-nucleotide ribosomal RNA is filed under the name uncultured bacterium. Its description in RNAcentral is "bacterial SSU rRNA". It matches the Rfam family "Bacterial small subunit ribosomal RNA", at positions 28 to 505 of the family's 1533-position model. The record is from RNAcentral.